Molecule: ribosomal RNA, 254 nt
Filed under: uncultured bacterium
Lineage: Bacteria
Description: partial 16S ribosomal RNA
Rfam family: Bacterial small subunit ribosomal RNA
Source: RNAcentral
UACGUAGGGUGCAAGCGUUAAUCGGAAUUACUGGGCGUAAAGCGUGCGCAGGCGGCUUUGCAAGACAGAUGUGAAAUCCCCGGGCUUAACCUGGGAACUGCAUUUGUGACUGCAUGGCUAGAGUGCGGCAGAGGGGGAUGGAAUUCCGCGGUGUAGCAGUGAAAUGCGUAGAUAUGCGGAGGAACACCGAUGGCGAAGGCAAUCCCCUGGGCCUGCACUGACGCUCAUGCACGAAAGCGUGGGGAGCAAACAGG